UGCAGUCGAGCGGUAGAGAGAAGCUUGCUUCUCUUGAGAGCGGCGGACGGGUGAGUAAUGCCUAGGAAUCUGCCUGGUAGUGGGGGAUAACGCUCGGAAACGGACGCUAAUACCGCAUACGUCCUACGGGAGAAAGCAGGGGACCUUCGGGCCUUGCGCUAUCAGAUGAGCCUAGGUCGGAUUAGCUAGUUGGUGAGGUAAUGGCUCACCAAGGCGACGAUCCGUAACUGGUCUGAGAGGAUGAUCAGUCACACUGGAACUGAGACACGGUCCAGACUCCUACGGGAGGCAGCAGUGGGGAAUAUUGGACAAUGGGCGAAAGCCUGAUCCAGCCAUGCCGCGUGUGUGAAGAAGGUCUUCGGAUUGUAAAGCACUUUAAGUUGGGAGGAAGGGCAGUAACCUAAUACGUUGCUGUCUUGACGUUACCGACAGAAUAAGCACCGGCUAACUCUGUGCCAGCAGCCGCGGUAAUACAGAGGGUGCAAGCGUUAAUCGGAAUUACUGGGCGUAAAGCGCGCGUAGGUGGUUCGUUAAGUUGGAUGUGAAAUCCCCGGGCUCAACCUGGGAACUGCAUUCAAAACUGACGAGCUAGAGUAUGGUAGAGGGUGGUGGAAUUUCCUGUGUAGCGGUGAAAUGCGUAGAUAUAGGAAGGAACACCNGUGG
RNAcentral lists this ribosomal RNA (663 nucleotides) under Pseudomonas sp. UA-G006. RNAcentral describes it as "bacterial SSU rRNA". It matches the Rfam family "Bacterial small subunit ribosomal RNA", at positions 56 to 715 of the family's 1533-position model. Lineage: Bacteria; Pseudomonadati; Pseudomonadota; Gammaproteobacteria; Pseudomonadales; Pseudomonadaceae. The record is from RNAcentral.